This 106-nucleotide non-coding RNA is filed under the name Nicotiana sylvestris (wood tobacco). Lineage: Eukaryota; Viridiplantae; Streptophyta; Magnoliopsida; Solanales; Solanaceae. RNAcentral also lists the same sequence under 1 other name. The record is from RNAcentral.
GUGUUCGUAGAAAUUAGAGAUGGUCGGGAACAGCCUUCGGUUUUACCUGUUAUUGCACACAUCCGGUUAAGGCUACCCACUUCGGUGGAUCUUACCCCAAUUUUUG